This 253-nucleotide ribosomal RNA is filed under the name uncultured bacterium. RNAcentral's name for it is "partial 16S ribosomal RNA". It matches the Rfam family "Bacterial small subunit ribosomal RNA", at positions 524 to 776 of the family's 1533-position model. The record is from RNAcentral.
UACGGGGGGGGCAAGCGUUGUUCGGAAUUACUGGGCGUAAAGGGCUCGUAGGCGGCCAACUAAGUCGGACGUGAAAUCCCUCGGCUCAACCGGGGAACUGCGUCCGAUACUGGAUGGCUUGAAUCCGGGAGAGGGAUGCGGAAUUCCAGGUGUAGCGGUGAAAUGCGUAGAUAUCUGGAGGAACACCGGUGGCGAAGGCGGCAUCCUGGACCGGCAUUGACGCUGAGGCGCGAAUGCCAGGGGAGCAAACGGG